AAUGAACGCUGGCGGCAGGCCUAACACAUGCAGGUCGAACGGAUCCUUCGGGAUUAGUGGCGGACGGGUGAGUAACGCGUGGGAACAUACCCUUUGGUACGGAAUAGCCUCGGGAAACUGGGAGUAAUACCGUAUGUGGUCGAGAGACGAAAGAUUUAUCGCCAAAGGAUUGGCCCGCGUUGGAUUAGGUAGUUGGUGGGGUAAUGGCCUACCAAGCCGACGAUCCAUAGCUGGUUUGAGAGGAUGAUCAGCCACACUGGGACUGAGACACGGCCCAGACUCCUACGGGAGGCAGCAGUGGAGAAUCUUAGACAAUGGGGGAAACCUUGAUCUAGCUAUGCCGCGUGAUCGAUGAAGGCCUUAGGGUUGUAAAGAUCUUUCAGGUGGGAAGAUAAUGACUGUACCACCAGAAGAAGCCCCGGCUAACUCCGUGCCAGCAGCCGCGGUAA
Molecule: ribosomal RNA, 449 nt
Filed under: uncultured bacterium
Lineage: Bacteria
Description: partial 16S ribosomal RNA
Rfam family: Bacterial small subunit ribosomal RNA
Source: RNAcentral